RNAcentral lists this unclassified non-coding RNA (499 nucleotides) under uncultured Glomus. RNAcentral's name for it is "SSU rRNA". It matches the Rfam family "Eukaryotic small subunit ribosomal RNA", at positions 591 to 1092 of the family's 1831-position model. The record is from RNAcentral. Lineage: Eukaryota; Fungi; Glomeromycota; Glomeromycetes; Glomerales; Glomeraceae.
CCAAUAGCGUAUAUUAAAGUUGUUGCAGUUAAAAAGCUCGUAGUUGAAUUUCGGGACUAAUAUGUCGGUCGUGCCUCGGUACGUACUGGUAUUUUUGGUUUCUCCCUUCUGACGAACCUUGAUGUCAUUAAUUUGGUGUCUUGGGAAAUCAGGACUGUUACUUUGAAAAAAUUAGAGUGUUUAAAGCAGGCUCACGCUUGAAUACAUUAGCAUGGAAAAAUGAAAUAGGACGUUUGAUUCUAUUUUGUUGUUUUCUAGGAUCGACGUAAUGAUUAAUAGGGAUAUUUGGGGGCAUUAGUAUUCAAUUGUCAGAGGUGAAAUUCUUGGAUUUAUUGAAGACUAACUACUGCGAAAGCAUUUGCCAAGGAUGUUUUCAUUAAUCAAGAACGAAAGUUAGGGGAUCGAAGACGAUCAGAUACCGUCGUAGUCUUAACCAUAAACUAUGCCGACUAGGGAUCGGAUGAUGUUAAUUUUUUAAUGACUCAUUCGGCGCCUUACG